AGUGGCGGACGGGUGAGUAACGCGUGGGUAACCUGCCUCAUACAGGGGGAUAACAGCCAGAAAUGACUGCUAAUACCGCAUAAGCGCACGGAACCGCAUGGUUUUGUGUGAAAAACUCCGGUGGUAUGAGACGGACCCGCGUCUGAUUAGCUAGUUGGCGGGGUAACGGCCCACCAAGGCAGCGAUCAGUAGCCGGCCUGAGAGGGUGGACGGCCACAUUGGGACUGAGACACGGCCCAAACUCCUACGGAAGGCAGCAG
RNAcentral lists this ribosomal RNA (260 nucleotides) under uncultured bacterium. Its description in RNAcentral is "partial 16S ribosomal RNA". It matches the Rfam family "Bacterial small subunit ribosomal RNA", at positions 94 to 354 of the family's 1533-position model. The record is from RNAcentral.